Molecule: ribosomal RNA, 252 nt
Filed under: uncultured bacterium
Lineage: Bacteria
Also listed under: 1 other name
Description: partial 16S ribosomal RNA
Rfam family: Bacterial small subunit ribosomal RNA
Source: RNAcentral
UACGGGGGGGCAAGCGUUGUUCGGAAUUACUGGGCGUAAAGGGCUCGUAGGCGGCCAACUAAGUCGGAUGUGAAAUCCCCAGGCUCAACUUGGGAACUGCAUCCGAUACUGGAUGGCUUGAAUCCGGGAGAGGGAUGCAGAAUUCCAGGUGUAGCGGUGAAAUGCGUAGAUAUCUGGAGGAAUACCGGUGGCGAAGGCGGCAUCCUGGACCGGCAUUGACGCUGAUGAGCGAAAGCUAGGGGAGCAAACGGG